CCGCCGUCAGCUGGACGGAGUCAUGAACCGUUGCUCAACGGCUCACGGCGGACAAGUUAAUAAUGACGGCUGCCUUUUGAGCGGGUUGCCGCAGACCGAAACGGAGAAUCUCUCUGUCGGGCUGUGGUUAAUUUUCUGCACCCUUUUUGCAGCCGAACC
The submitters of this non-coding RNA (159 nucleotides) gave its source as unclassified sequences. The record is from Rfam.